UACGGAGGGUGCGAGCGUUAUCCGGAAUUAUUGGGCGUAAAGCGCGCGUAGGCGGCUUGAUAAGUCGGUUGUGAAAGCCCGGGGCUCAACCUGGGAACGGCAUCCGGAACUGUCAGGCCAGAGUGCAGGAGAGGAAGGUAGAAUUCCCGGUGUAGCGGUGAAAUGCGUAGAGAUCGGGAGGAAUACCAGUGGCGAAGGCGGCCUUCUGGACUGACACUGACACUGAGGGGCGAAAGCGUGGGUAGCAAACAGG
RNAcentral lists this unclassified non-coding RNA (253 nucleotides) under uncultured Halomonadaceae bacterium. Its description in RNAcentral is "contains 16S-23S intergenic spacer region". It matches the Rfam family "Bacterial small subunit ribosomal RNA", at positions 524 to 776 of the family's 1533-position model. The record is from RNAcentral. Lineage: Bacteria; Pseudomonadati; Pseudomonadota; Gammaproteobacteria; Oceanospirillales; Halomonadaceae.